UGAGUAACCUGCCCUUAACUCUGGGAUAAGCCUGGGAAACUGGGUCUAAUACCGGAUAUGACUCCUCAUCGCAUGGUGGGGGGUGGAAAGCUUUUGUGGUUUUGGAUGGACUCGCGGCCUAUCAGCUUGUUGGUGAGGUAAUGGCUCACCAAGGCGACGACGGGUAGCCGGCCUGAGAGGGUGACCGGCCACACUGGGACUGAGACACGGCCCAGACUCCGUACGGGAGGCAG
RNAcentral lists this ribosomal RNA (233 nucleotides) under uncultured bacterium. Its description in RNAcentral is "partial 16S ribosomal RNA". It matches the Rfam family "Bacterial small subunit ribosomal RNA", at positions 118 to 351 of the family's 1533-position model. The record is from RNAcentral.